Molecule: long non-coding RNA, 844 nt
Organism: Rhipicephalus sanguineus (brown dog tick)
Lineage: Eukaryota; Metazoa; Arthropoda; Arachnida; Ixodida; Ixodidae
Exons: 4
Source: RefSeq, a predicted model, not a curated record
GCGCAGUCUUGGAUCACUACUCGGCUGUAAGCACCGGCAACACCAUGAUGAAGAAAGUUGCGCUCGUACUGGUCGUCGUUCUACUAUGCACCGAAGUGAUGCUGACGGAAGCGCAAGUGCGUCCUCCCGGAAGGUCGGGCAACCCGGCCAAUCGCCCAAAACCGAAACCCGUGAAGUGUGGUAAAAAGACCUGUGCUCCUCAUCAGCGCUGCGAAAGACAACUGGUACCGGAGCCGACAUGUUACUGAAAUGAAACUUCUAACAAGAAAGAACAAUGCUCGAUGAACGUCACCUUCAUUAACGGUCAGUUUGGGAAAUAAAUGCUCACACAUGAAGAAUCGGUUAGCCUGAGAGUUUAAUUUUAUCUAUUAACAUAACAAAACAUCUAUUCCACGCAUUUAAAAAGCACGUGCAAGCCAACUCCUAAACGAAAGCAGGAUGAAUAAACUUUAUUCAGUAAAGUGAGCCGACGGUACAGUCGUUAAGGUGGGCAGCGUUAGUCCAGGAUGCCGCGGGCCUGAGCUGAGAGCUUGGCCCUGCUCAUCAGACGUCUCUGGUCUUCUAGGCUUGACCUUGUCAGCCGGGCCUCCCAAUGCUCGACGUUUGAUCCAGCGAUAGGUAAUAUUGAUGGGUUGCGUCCACACUCCCAUACCAUAUGGUAGAGUGUAUUCGUUGCAGAGCAAAACUUGUGGUCGUUUCGCUAGCUUGCGGGUUACAUAGCGAGCAAAAGGGUACCGUGACGGGAGGAACCGGACUGAAGUUUCCGGAAAGGCACUGUCUCUGCUGUCGUAAGAAUUUCGAAAGAUAAAUCUCGAAGGAGAACGCACAGGCCUCAGUUUCAUAA